GUGCUUGCUUUGACAGUACAUAUACUAAAUUUGGAAUGAUACAGAGAAUAUUAACAUGGGUCCUGCACAAAGAUGACAAGCAAAUUCAUGGAACUUUUGUAUUUUUG
Small nuclear RNA from Dasypus novemcinctus (nine-banded armadillo), 107 nucleotides. Lineage: Eukaryota; Metazoa; Chordata; Mammalia; Cingulata; Dasypodidae. The record is from Ensembl.